This 400-nucleotide ribosomal RNA is filed under the name uncultured bacterium. RNAcentral describes it as "bacterial SSU rRNA". It matches the Rfam family "Bacterial small subunit ribosomal RNA", at positions 356 to 773 of the family's 1533-position model. The record is from RNAcentral.
GGGGAAUAUUGGACAAUGGGCGCAAGCCUGAUCCAGCCAUGCCGCGUGAGUGAUGAAGGCCCUAGGGUUGUAAAGCUCUUUCACCGGUGAAGAUAAUGACGGUAACCGGAGAAGAAGCCCCGGCUAACUUCGUGCCAGUAGCCGCGGUAAUACGAAGGGGGCUAGCGUUGUUCGGAUUUACUGGGCGUAAAGCGCACGUAGGCGGGCUAAUAAGUCAGGGGUGAAAUCCCGGGGCUCAACCCCGGAACUGCCUUUGAUACUGUUAGUCUUGAGUAUGGAAGAGGUGAGUGGAACUCCGAGUGUAGAGGUGAAAUUCGUAGAUAUUCGGAGGAACACCAGUGGCGAAGGCGGCUCACUGGUCCAUUACUGACGCUGAGGUGCGAAAGCGUGGGGAGCAAAC